This 353-nucleotide long non-coding RNA is filed under the name Cricetulus griseus (Chinese hamster). RNAcentral describes it as "lncRNA (ENSCGRG00000025891.1)". The record is from RNAcentral. Lineage: Eukaryota; Metazoa; Chordata; Mammalia; Rodentia; Cricetidae.
AGCUCUGGAUGUCGGGAUUCUGGGCUCCGUUCUUUUCUCCUCCGGUGUUACUCGAGCGCUGCAUUCACUUUGGAAGGCAAAGAGAAAGUUCUGUUUUAAAGCUCCCUGAAGGAGAAUCGAAAGGCCUUGACUGGGGGAUGUUUAAGCCACUUCCUCAGACGGAGACGGCAGUCACAGGGCAUAAGUGUUUCCCAGCCCUUAUGCAGAGUCACAGCUUUACUUCCUUCUUGAGUAAAAGACCCAUGUCACCCCUGACAUUCUCAUUUUAGUGUCAUAACUUAUUUUGGGCCCUCAUUCCAAUGUUGCAUCAGCCUCUGUCUUAGAAUUCUAUUGCUGUAAUAAAACAUCAUAAC